UGAGUAACACGUAUCCAACCUGCCGUCUACUCUUGGACAGCCUUCUGAAAGGAAGAUUAAUACAAGAUGGCAUCAUGAGUUCACAUGUUCACAUGAUUAAAGGUAUUCCGGUAGACGAUGGGGAUGCGUUCCAUUAGAUAGUAGGCGGGGUAACGGCCCACCUAGUCUUCGAUGGACAGGGGUUCUGAGAGGAAGGUCCCCCACAUUGGAACUGAGACACGGUCCAA
This 227-nucleotide ribosomal RNA is filed under the name uncultured bacterium. Its description in RNAcentral is "partial 16S ribosomal RNA". It matches the Rfam family "Bacterial small subunit ribosomal RNA", at positions 107 to 334 of the family's 1533-position model. The record is from RNAcentral.